RNAcentral lists this long non-coding RNA (31045 nucleotides) under Vitis vinifera (wine grape). Its description in RNAcentral is "long non-coding RNA (VVIN_LNC006016)". The record is from RNAcentral. Lineage: Eukaryota; Viridiplantae; Streptophyta; Magnoliopsida; Vitales; Vitaceae.
GGUAGGGAGAAGCUGAAGAUAAGCUAUUGGCUUCCCUGAACAGAGGAGACUCCUCGGUGGUCUAAUGGCAACUCCGACUGUUCGGCUCAUCUCAGAAUGCUUUAUCAAACCAAAGUUCACUUCAGAAGAGACCAAGGAGCCCUGUUACCUCACACCAUGGGACCUUGCCAUGCUCUCCGUCAAUUAUAUCCAAAAGGGCCUUCUCUUUAGCAAACCACCUGAUGUGGAUGAUCCACAAAACUUCAUGGCAACUCUCUUGGACAGGCUCAAGGAUUCCCUCGCUCUCACACUCGACCAUUUCUACCCACUUGCAGGCCGCCUUGCAACAAAGAAGGAGGACAGUCCACCCUCUUACGUGGUCUUUGUAGAUUGUAACAACAGUCCCGGAGCGAAAUUCAUCCACGCAGCUGCAGACAUGACAAUAUCUGAUAUCCUUUCACCAAUUUAUGUACCCCAAGUUAUCCAAUCAUUCUUUGAUCAUGAUAGGGUGAUUAACCACGAUGGUCACACCUUGUCUUUGCUAUCAAUUCAAGUCACAGAGCUUGUGGACGGCAUCUUCAUUGGAUGUUCCAUAAAUCACAGCAUGGUUGAUGGAACCUCUUUCUGGCAUUUCUUCAACGCAUGGUCUGAGGUAUUCACUGCACAGGAGAAGAAUAGUCCCAUAACACUGUCACGCCCACCCAUCCUCAAGCGCUGGUUUCCUGAUGGCUAUGGUCCAAUUAUCAACCUUCCUUUCACUCACCAUGAUGAGUUCAUCAGCAGAUUUGAAGCACCCGUACUCAGAGAGAGAAUUUUCCACUUCUCAUCAGAAUCAAUAGCAAAGCUCAAAGCAAAGGCAAAUGCACAGUGCAACAGCAACAAAAUCUCCUCUUUCCAGGCAUUGUCCGCACUUGUCUGGAGGUCCAUAACACGAGCGCGCUGUUUCCCACAUGAGCAGGUAACCAGUUGCAGGCUGGCCAUCGGUAACAGAACAAGAUUGGACCCGCCCUUGCCGGAGAACUACUUUGGGAACUCAAUUCAAACGGUGAGAGGCAUUGCCACUGCUGGUGAACUGCUUGAACAUGAUCUUGGGUGGGCAGCCUGGCUCUUGCACCAGGCUGUGGUCGGUCACACUGACAAAGCUGUGCGUGGCUGGCUUGAGUCAUGGUUUCAAUCCCACUUUAUUUAUCAGUUAGGCCUGUUUUUUGACCCCAAUAGCGUAAUGAUGGGGAGCUCGCCCAGAUUUAACAAGUAUGGAAUUGAGUUUGGACUAGGGAAAGGAUUGGCAGUUCGGAGCGGUUACGCACACAAGUUCGAUGGGACAGUGUCAUGUUACCCGGGACGUGAAGGAGGAGGAAGCAUAGAUUUGGAGGUGUGCCUACCGCCAAACUCGAUGAGUGCUCUUGAAUCCAACCAGGAGUUCAUGGAGGCUGUCUCUUUGUCCCCUUAGGUACUUAGUUUUCACAUAUGUAAUCUGCAUAAACUAAUGAUGUAAACUUCAUUAGUCUCUGUUUUUCUGUUUCUUCCUUGAAUAAGCACUUGUCUAUGUACGGACGUCCUUCAUAUAUUGCAAAUUCAGAUAAUAUGAUGUGAUAUCGAGGCAAAGUAAUUAUAAAGCAAAUGUUAAGUUGUUAUGUCAAGCUACCAAACAGUUCCACAUCAUAUCUGCUAAACCUAAUAUAAGACUAUAUGCCCCCUCCACGCACAACAAAGAUAGGACUUUAUAGAAGGAUGGUCAGCUUAUCUUAUGGAAGGUCAAAGCUCGACUUAUUUAAUGGUUAUUCAAUUCACUUCAUCUGUAAACAUGGACAUUUCGGACUAGAUGCCAGCCACUCUAAUAAUUGAGCAAUGAACUCCAGUUUCCAGCUGCAGAUUUCAGUACUCCAUAUUUAACUAGCAAGAAUAUUAUUGAUUGAUUUAAGCUUUCCCUCCUGCAAAAUUAGCAUACAACAGAUACGCGGUGAAGAGCUGUUAACAGCUUCAUCACACCCCAAGAGUCAAAGGCCAUGAGAACCCAAUUUUUUGGACUUUAUUUGCUAGUUCUCAUCAACCAUAGGCUAUAGCACCAUGAGGGACUUUAUUUGGAAUUUGGUAGUAGGAGCAAAAUUCAAACGGAGAAAAAAAAUAAUCAGAUUAUAGAAUGAAAUUGACUACUUACAUCAUCAACAUUGAGAGGCUCCUUGAGAUGUCACACCAUCUGCAGAGUGGUUUAACAAACAGAAUCCUAGCUUUCUCAUUUUGGUGGUCUGUGAAGUACCUAGCUCCCGUUAUAACAGUCCAGGUAACAUAUCACUAAACUCAUGCUUUUAUGUGGAAAAAACUAUUAAAUAAGUUAGUAGUACUUGCAUCCAAAAAUAUAAAGACCUGAGAUCAGACCUUGGGAGUUGUAACCUCAUUAAACUGCACAUGCGCCUAUGGGAAAGAAAAAGAGGAAAAUUAAGUUGUUCUUGAUGCCAUCAAUUAACAACAGCAAAUUGAGCAGUGGAAGUCCAUUGGAAAUGGGAGACAAACUACAUUUUGUAUGAAUAACAAUAACAGAAUAAUACAAACCAGCUAAAAGUUGAGCCCCAUCGAUUCUUCAGUGGGAUGAUCAAGGGGGUAUGAAAAAGCAACCAAAGAUCAAUCCUUCAGAAGUUCAAAAAGAUUAGGGACAGAGCAGAGUAGAAACGAAGUCAAACAGGCCUUACUAAAUCCUAGUGCAGGAAAGCUAAGCAUUCCCCUUGAAUGGUCCUAAAAUUUACAUGUCAUGCAAAAGUGAGGAGCACAGAUAACUUUCUAAAUUUAAAUCUAACAAGAAACUGAAUAUCAGCCCGCUAGCAUGGACAAAAAGUCAAUAAUCUCAGACUAAAAGAGGAGAAAAUAAUUUUUCAGGACAGUAGUUAUUUCAAGAGGCUGAGAAGUUUCCCCGAAACCUCUUUGUAUGCCCACGCACUGAUAGCUAUCCGAUUUUGUCCUAUUUAUUGCAUAUAAACUGCAUCCCCUUGACGGCUGAAAUGCCGAAACUGCAAGAAAUCAUUAAGGAAAUAAAAUAAAUACAAUAAAGGGAAAAGCUACUUCAAUGUUGAAGAAUUUCUGUGUGAGAAACCUACAGGACAUUAGCGAUAAUUACAAUGCAAUUUGGUUGUUAUAUGAGGGCCCAAGAAAGACAACCAGAGAAGCUUCAAGAAGACAUGAUGUUAGAAGCUGAUAUUCAACCAUGAAGAUCCUUUGAAAGGCCCAAGAAAGACAACCAGAAAAAGCCUCAUGAUGUUUAGCAGCUGAUAUUCAACCAUGAAGAUCCUUUGAAAGGCCCAAGAAAGACAACCAGAAAAAGCUUCAGGAUGUUAGCAGCUGAUAUUCAAUCAUGAGGAUCCUUUCAAAUCUGUGUACCCCUCAGAGCUUAGCUUCAGCCAAAUGUUCCAUGAGGGCCUUUUUGAGGAAAGGGAUCGCUCUUAAAACAUUGAAUGAAGCAUGGCCACAAGUUAGAGCCUAACUUAGAUUCUUCAAAGCAAUCUCAUAUACAUUCCAAAGCUUUUACUGAGCUUUCCUCGUUUAAAUGGUAUCACAGCCACUCCCCAGUGGGACUGUUAGCAGGCUUAAACCCUUUUCCCUCUAUAACUCCUUCCCAACUAAAGCAUUUCCAGAUUCACAUUCUUAUUAACUUCCACAAUUAUUAACUGUCUCCAUUGAUCGUCAAGAACAUGUAGCAAUCAACUGAGUAAUUCGCAACCCUUAGAGCAUCAUAUACAUUACGAGCCUAAAUCCUUGCAACUGAACCUUUCAGAAAAAUUGGUAGUUUAGCAUUGUAUUAGAACAAAGAUGAACUUGACGGCUGGACCUGAUCUUUUGUUUUCUAUAAAAUUGAAAUACUUAUGUCAUAAAAUUCAGUAAUGUACCAUCCUUAUUUAAUUUUUUUUAUUUUUUUAUUUUUCUGUUGUCAUGGUGCACCGUUGAAUUGAAUCAUGGACACCGCUGGACAAGCAUACGACGACUGUAAGAAUUUUAUCUCGAGAUUUUUUUUGACAAGUGGCUUUCGAGUUAGGGGCAACUACCAAGCGAAUUUAGAAUACGGAUACAAGUUGGCCUUUCAAUAUUGAAUUAUGCAGAUGAUGGGUGAUGCUUCCGGGGUCACGUUGGUAAAAAAAACACAAGAAAUGAGCAACCCUACGAUACUUCCUUUACUGCAAAACAAUUAAGCUUAUGUUGCGACUUGUGACUUCUUAGCAGUCAAAACACUGUUCAUAUUUUGACUUCAACCGCGGAAAAGGUCAAAAUGAUAUUUCAAGGACAAUAAUUAAAAGAAUUGACCUGCCCCUCAGCCCCUCCUUCCGCCUGUCUGGAGGUCCAUAACACAAGCACGCUGUUUACCACAUGAACAGGAAAUCAGUUGCUGCUUGGCCGUCAAUAACAGAACAAGAUUGGACCCGCCCUUGCCGGAGAACUACUUCGGGAACUCCAUUCAUACAGCCAAUGCCCAUUUCAGCUUUGGCUUCAGCUCUUGCAAAUGCAACACCUGAUCAGCAAAGAACAGUAUGCCCAUUACCCUAAUUAUUGAUGAUACCUUAGUUUGCGUUGUAUUAGUAGCCUUUUACGUAAUUUUCUUUUUCUUCUGCUCUCAUUAUUGUCGAUACCUUAGUUUGCAUUGUAUUAGGAGCCUAAUUUCUUUUAUUUUAUUUUAUUUUUUAUGGUGCUCAUGUUGUUGUUUCCGUUUUUAUUUUUAUGGUGGCUAGAUGCUGGGCGAAAGUUUGUACCCUCUCGUGGAUCAGCUGGAGCAUGAGAUGGCAGCCAAAGUGACAGGCAUGCUUCUGGAUAUGGGCCAGACUGAGUUUUUGCAUCUGCUCGAGUCGCCAGAGGCUUUGAAGUCCAAGGUUGCGGAGGCCAUGGACGUCCUGAGGAAUGUUGCUCAGCAGCAGGCUAACAGACCGAACAACUAUCCUCACUGUCCCUGAAUGAUAGCCUUGUUCCCUGAGUGUGUUGGGUGGGACUUGAAUGUGGUUCCAGCAGUUUAAAUUAAGUUUCUCUGCUAGUGAAGGCUCUAGAUUUCAUUUGAUAUGGAGUUACAUUAGCCAUAGAAUUCUGAAGUUUGAAACAUAUUGUGUGUGCUGGUUUUUGGUGAUAAAGUUUGGGAUGCUAUAUACUCUAUGUUUUGAUAUUGACAAUAGAGUGUUCUAUUGAGCAAUUUAUUAUGUGGGUAAUGUCAUGCAUGAUAUCCAUCCUCCAAAUACCUUUUAAAAGAAUGGGUCCAUCUAUGGCUGCCAGUCUUUCUUGCAGGGCAACCUUUAAGAAAGGAGAGCCAUAAUUUUUGCAAAACCGAUUCAGAAUAAUAAUGGUUAAGUUGUCUUUUCAACAUUUUGAUAUUAUUGUUAUGCAGGUUAUGCUUCUACAUCUAGUUUAAUUCAAUAAAAGGACACCGUGAAAGGUGUAAGACAAAACAAGAAAAAGAGCAUGUCUACAACACAUCCUUACUGCAAGUCUGCAAAGCAAUUAGGGCUGUGUUCUGAGCAGUCAAAACACUGGUUUAUACCUACAGGUUAUUAUUAUUACAACUUAAAUUCACAGCAUUGUUUCAUAUUUUGAUUGGAUCUAGUCUUUAUCAGCAACUGCGGGGAAAAGGGUAAAAUUACAUUACAAGGACAGUCGUUAAAAUAAUUGUCCUGCUCAUAUGCAGCUACAUCAACCAGAGCCACCCAUUAAGAAUGGAAGGGAGAAGCUGAAGAUAAGCUAUUGGCUUCCCUGAACAGAGGAACUCCUCGGUGGUCUAAUGGCAACUCCGACUGUUCGGCUCAUCUCAGAAUGCUUUAUCAAACCAAAGUUCACUUCAGAAGAGACAAAGGAGCCCUGUUACCUCACACCAUGGGACCUUGCCAUGCUCUCCGUCAAUUAUAUCCAAAAGGGCCUUCUCUUUAGCAAACCACCUCUGUGGAUUAUCCACAAAACUUCAUGGCAACUCUCUUGGACAGGCUCAAGGAUUCUCUCGCUCUCACACUCGACCAUUUCUACCCACUUGCAGGCCGCCUUGCAACAAAGAAGGAGGACAGUUCACCCUCUUACGUGGUCUUUGUAGAUUGUAACAACAGUCCCGGAGCGAAAUUCAUCCACGCAGCUGCAUACAUGACACUAUCUGACAUCGUUUCACCAAUUUAUGUACCCCAAGUUAUCCAAUCAUUCUUUGAUCAUGAUAGGGUGAUUAACCACGAUGGUCGCACCUUGUCUUUGCUAUCAAUUCAAAUCACAGAGCUUGUGGACGGCAUCUUCAUUGGAUGUUCCAUAAAUCACAGCAUGGUUUAUGGAACCUCUUUCUGGCAUUUCUUCAAUGCAUGGUCUGAGGUAUUCACUGCACAGGGGAAGAAUAGUUCCAUAACACUGUCACGCCCACCCAUCCUCAAGCGUUGGUUUCCUGAUGGCUGUGGUCCAAUUAUCAACCUUCCUUUCACUCACCAUGAUGAGUUCAUCAGCAGAUAUGAAGCACCCGUUCUCAGAGAGAGAAUUUUCCACUUCUCAUCAGAAUCAAUAGCAAAGCUCAAAGCAAAGGCAAAUGCACAGUGCAACAGCAACAAAAUCUCCUCUUUCCAGGCAUUGUCCGCACUUGUCUGGAGGUCCAUAACACGAGCGCGCUGUUUCCCACAUGAGCAGGUAACCAGUUGCAGGCUGGCCACCGGUAACAGACCAAGAUUGGACCCGCCCUUGCCGGAGAACUACUUUGGGAACUCAAUUCAAACGGUGAGAGGCAUUGCCACUGCUGGUGAACUGCUUGAACAUGAUCUUGGGUGGGCAGCCUGGCUCUUGCACCAGGCUGUGGUCGGUCACACUGACAAAGCUGUGCGUGGCUGGCUUGAGUCAUGGUUUCAAUCCCACUUUAUUUAUCAGUUAGGCCUGUUUUUUUAUGAAGAAUUUGAAGAAAAAUAUGAAGAAUUUGAAAACAAAAUAUGGAGGAACACCUCAAUUCAUUCUGUGAUACCUUCCUUUACAAUGAAUGAAAGCAUAAAUAAAUAGCCUACGGAUAUGAGACAAUUCCGGAAUGGAAUUUCCCUUACAUGGAAAGUGAAUAAACUCUUACAUGGGAAGUGAAUAAACUACUCUUACAUGGAAAGUGAAUAAACUACCUUGCUAGAAUUACUCUUAAAUAUAUAAACUACUCUUACAUGGAAAGUGAAUAAACUACCUUGCUAGAAUUACUCUUAAAUCAAUUAUAAUAAAGGCUGUACAUUACACUAAUUAGGGAAGUAAACAGAGGAUGCUGGCUUGAUUUCCAACACUCCCCCUCAAGCCGCGUUGUAGAUGUUGAUCAUUCCAAGUUUUUUUGUCAGAUCUUCGAAGUUAACUCGAGCAAGAGCUUUUGUGAGAAUGUCAGCCGUUUGACAGUUUGUCGGAGUGUAGCUGACUUUGAAAACUCCUUCUUCAAUCUUUUCCUUGAUAAAGUGUCGAUCUAUCUCCACGUGCUUAGUUCGAUCAUGAUGAACCGGAUUCUUAGCGAUACUGAUGGCAGCUUGAUUGUCGCAGUAUAACACCAUGGGAUGCUUCAAUGGAACCCGUAAUUCUUCUAACAGCCUGUUCAACCAGAUUCCCUCGCAGAUACCUUGUGCCAUAGCACGAAAUUCUGCCUCAGCACUGCUACGGGCUACCACUGACUGUUUCUUGCUUCGCCAUGUAACCAAGUUCCCCCAGACAAAUGAACAAUAGCCUGAAGUUGAUCUCCGAUCAGUCACUGAACCUGCCCAAUCUGCAUCUGAAAAAAUCUUAAUCUCUUUAUUUGUUGUUCUUUGAAAGAAGAGACCCUUUCCCGGUGUCAUCUUGAGGUAUCUCAAUAUUCUGAUCACAGCAGUCAUGUGUUUUUCGGUUGGAUUAUUCAUGAAUUGACUUACCACACUAACGGAGAAGCCGAUGUCUGGCCUUGUAUGAGAAAGAUAGAUGAGUUUCCCCACAAGACGUUGAUAUCUUCCUUUAUCAACUGGCGCACUUCCAUCACUUUCUUCCAGUUUGACAGUUGUAUCCAUAGGUGUUUCUGCCGGCUUGCAUCCUAGCAUUCCUGUUUCAUUCAAUAAGUCUAGAACGUAUUUGCGUUGUGAGACUGCUAUACCUUUCUUUGACCUAGCAAUCUCCAUUCCGAGAAAGUACUUGAGGUUUCCAAGAUCCUUGAUCUCAAAUUCCUUUGUCAGUAAUUUUUUAAGUAAGUCAAUUUUCUCUUCAUGAUCACCUGUCAAAAUUAUGUCGUCCACAUAUACAAUGAUAAUUGCUAGUUUCCCUUCUGGGAAGUGUUUCACAAAUAAUGUGUGAUCGGAUUGACAUUGAACGAAUCCGUACCCUUUCACUACCUUAGUGAACCGUUCAAACCAGGCCCUGGGAGAUUGUUUGAGACCAUACAAGGAUUUUCGGAGUCUGCAAACCUUGUUGAAAUUUGAUGUCGUCUCAAGUCCAGCAGGAAUGUCCAUGUAAACUUCUUCCUCUAAGUCACCAUUGAGGAAGGCAUUCUUCACAUCAAGUUGGUGAAGCGACCAAUCGAGAUUAGCUGCCAAGGAUAAAAGUACAUGAACAGUAUUGAGCUUGGCAACUGGAGCAAAAGUUUCUUGAUAGUCAAUGCCAUAAGAUUGGGUGAAUCCUUUGGCAACCAACCGAGCCUUAUACCUGUCCACAUUACCAUCUGCCUUGUACUUUACUGUGAAAAUCCACUUACACCCAACUGGUUUCUUACCUCUUGGGAGGUCAGUAAUUUCCCACGUACCAUUCUUUUCCAGCGCCCGAACUUCCUCAUCGACUGCCGCCUUCCAUUUAGGAUACUUGAAAGCUUCCUGAAUAUUCUGAGGAACUUGUAUCUCUGUGAUGCUAGAAGUGAAUGCACGAAACGUAGGUGAUAGCUUAUCAUAAGAAAUAAAAUUUCCAAUGGGAUGCUGAGUGCAUGAUCUAACUCCUUUCCUCCAAGCUAUGGGCAUAUUAAGAAUAUCAUUUUCUAACUCGGAAUCAACAGUACCAUCAGGAGCGUUGUUACCUGGAAGUUUGCUUGGAUUAGGACCUGGUUCUGCCUCAUGGGUUUGUUGAGAAAGUGCUCUUUCCUCCGUUUCCUCUUGGAUGUGCUCCUUAUCCCACAAGUCAACAAUGAACUCGGGUUAAUUAAAUGACUCUGGAGGAAUGUGAUUUUCAGUGGUGAUGGGUGACUCACUGAAUGACUCAAGAUCCCAAAAUUGAUAUUCCUGAGUUGAAUUCUCCCCCUGAAUAUCGUUUUUGGGAUAGUAAGGCUGGGUUUCAAAAAAGGUGGCAUCCAUUGAAUUGUAGAAUUUUCUUGUGACCGGAGAGUAACACUUAUACCCUUUUUGAUUUGAAGAAUACCCAAGAAAGAUGCACUUGAGUGACCUAGGAUCAAGUUUACUUCUAUGUUGUUGAUUGAUAUGAACAAAGACAGAGCACCCGAAAAUUUUGGGUGGGACGGUGGAGAUGAGACGAGUAGUCGGAAAGGAUUUUAGGAGUGUUUGACAAGGUGUUUGGAAUUUUAGUACCCUAGACAUUAGUGAGGUACAUUCAUGGAUCAUCUAUGAAUGAUUUUGGAACAUUCAUAUUGAUGAGGUAGGCUGCCGUAAGGACAGCUUGCCCCCAGAAUAAUUUUGGAACAUUCAUGGAGAACAUUAGUGAUCUAGCCACCUCUAACAAAUGCCUAUUUUUCCUUUCAGCGAUUCCGUUUUGUUGUGGGGUAUCAACACAUGAACUUAAGUGAACUAUCCCUUCUUGUGCUAGAAAUUCUCCUAGAAUGGAAUUGAAAUAAUCCCUAGCAUUAUCAGACUUUAGAAUUUGUAUUUUUGACUGGAAUUAGGUCUGAAUCAUAUUUUUAAAAUUUUUGAAAAUUUGACUCGUUUCAGAUUUUUCUUUCAUGAGGAAUACCCAAGUUAAUCUAGUGUGAUCAUCUAUGAAUGAGACAAACCACCUAGUACCAGUUACAUUUUUUAUUCUUGACGGACCCCAGAUAUCGCUAUGAAUCAUUGAGAAUGGACUAGACUCUUUAUAGGGUUGAAUGGGAAAAUGAGACCGGACUUGCUUUGAUAAUUGACAGAUUUCCCACUUAAAGGAUUUUGGAUUUUUAUUAAAUAAUGAAGGAAAUAAAUNNNNNNNNNNNNNNNNNNNNNNNNNNNNNNNNNNNNNNNNNNNNNNNNNNNNNNNNNNNNNNNNNNNNNNNNNNNNNNNNNNNNNNNNNNNNNNNNNNNNGCUGGACCGUAUUUAGGCAUAAAUUAGAAGAAUAGAAUUGAGUAAAAAAAAACUGACUAAAGAUGAAGACGAUGAGACAGGAUUAAACCUGCUCUGAUACCAUGAAGAAUUUGAAGAAAAAUAUGAAGAAUUUGAAAACAAAAUAUGGAGGAACACCUCAAUUCAUUCUGUGAUACCUUCCUUUACAAUGAAUGAAAGCAUAAAUAAAUAGCCUACGGAUAUGAGACAAUUCCGGAAUGGAAUUUCCCUUACAUGGAAAGUGAAUAAACUCUUACAUGGGAAGUGAAUAAACUACUCUUACAUGGAAAGUGAAUAAACUACCUUGCUAGAAUUACUCCUAAAUAUAUAAACUACUCUUACAUGGAAAGUGAAUAAACUACCUUGCUAGAAUUACUCCUAAAUCAAUUAUAAUAAAGGCUGUACAUUACACUAAUUAGGGAAGUAAACAGAGGAUGCUGGCUAGAUUUCCAACAUUUUACCCCAAUAGCGUAAUGAUGGGGAGCUCGCCCAGAUUUAACAAGUAUGGAAUUGAGUUUGGAUUAGGGAAAGGAUUGGCAGUUCGGAGCGGUUACGCACACAAGUUCGAUGGGAAAGUGUCAUGUUACCCGGGACGUGAAGGAGGAGGAAGCAUAGAUUUGGAGGUGUGCCUACCGCCAAACUAGAUGAGUGCUCUUGAAUCCAACCAGGAGUUCAUGGAGGCUGUCUCUUUAUUACCUCAGGUACUUUAGUUUUCAUAUCUGUAAUAUGCAGAAACUAAUAUCGUAAACUUCAUUAGAGUCUCUUUUUUUCUGUUUCUUGCUUGAAUAAACACUUGUCUUUGUGCCAACGUCAUUCAUAUAUUGCAAAUUCAGACAAUAUGACCGCCGCGUCGGGCUAUAAGAUAAGAUACCGCUGUUGUACUACUUGACUGGUAAGAAAAAGCUUCCGUAAGAACUGGAAGACUCUUGUAUGUACGGUAACCCUCUCUUCCGCUACUGGUGGAUUGUUGCACAGAAAGGCCGACAGAAGCAACCUUUCUUAGCGCUCUUUUCAAGCGCUUGGCUUCUGCUAGUGGCUGGCGGCAACAUCACACCCCAAGACUCCAAGGCCAUGAGAAUCCAUUCUUUUGAACUUUAUUUGCUAGUUCUCAUCUGCAAUAGCACCAUGAGGUUUGGCAUAUCACCUGUUCAUUAUUUAUAUCAACAGUCCACAUUCAUGGGAGAAUGAUUGCUCUUUUAGCAUCGCAUCCCUCGCUCAAUUCGUUCAACAACAAACUAGUUACUUGCAUUAUUUGAAUAUUACCACGUACUUGAGUUGGUUGAUGUUUUCCAGUCCACUAUAAAUUUGAGAUGCAAAGGGAGUUUUCAAGGGAGUGAAUGUACUCUUUCCCCUACAGGUUCUCAUAAUGCAGGAAAAUUGGAUAGGAGAGUAUGAUGUCCCCACUUGAAGACAUUUCGUAUAUUUCAAAAUUUUUAUUUUAAGGCAUCUAGAUCAUACAGGUUCCCAACGAAAUAGUAUUUCCAUGGAUGAUCAUACCAUACCGUUUGAAGGAAAUGUAAUCAUUAAAACCAGGGGAAAAGUUACUUCAAUGCCCAGUGACUUCUUUGUAAGAGACCUACUGGACAUGGGCUACAAUGCAAGUGGGGGCCUAAGAAAGACAACCAGAAAAAGCCUCGAGAAGACAUGAAGUUAGCAGCUGAUAUUCAAUCAUCAGGAUGCUUUAAAAUUCGUGUCCUCUCAGAGCAAGAAGUUGUAGGCUUUAGCCACAUGUUUAAUACAGCUGAGCAAUUCACAACCAUUAUGCUCCUUUAUUUCUUUUUCUUCUUUUUUUUUUCUAGGAAAAAACAAUAGAAAGGACAGGAAAAUGCUGAAGAUAGCUUCAGAAAGGAACAGAUUUAAAGUAAUUUUCAGCAUUUUCUUUCCAUUUCCAUUCUUCUUCUAAGAUUCAAAGGUGCACUACAGUCAGAACCAGAUAACUAAAAUCUCACCUUUGCAAAAUGUAAUAUCUUGGCCAUAUUCUCCUGCAUUAUUAAAAUGUGUCUCUACAUGUUAGAAUAAAGAAACAGAUUGGAAGCAAGGAAAUCUACCAAGAUGAAGCUGCACUGCAUAGCUGGUUAAAACUUCAACGAUGGCAAAUCCCACCCUUAACUUUUAAAAUACACUUGCUAGGCGCUUUUAAUAUAUUCCUUUGCUCGCCUAUAAAAAAAACCUUCAAAAUAUAGGGGCACCUACAAAAAUUAACAAGACAAAUUUGGAGGACAUAAAUGCUAACGGGUUGUGAUUCAUAUAAGUUUGGUGGUAAAGAAAGUUGAUAGUAAAUUUAAUAACGAAAAUCUUGAACACAAGGGUGCUUGAUGAAUGAGCAGAUAUCAGAGCACCAAUUACUUAGCCGUGUUGCAAAUCACUUCAAAAAACGCUGAGGGGGAAUCUGCCAAUAAUUACAUGAUCGUGCUGACUGAUGAGGUGAACCCAAGCGUAUGACAAAAUGUUUUGCCAGAGGGCCCAAAAGAUAUCGUGGAAUCAAAUACUAUAUAGUCAGCAAUUAAGAAAAUCAUCUCCUCUCUCGAGGACAUUUUCUCCUUUUUGGCCGUGUAUAUAUAUAUGAUUUGUAUUUUUUGCGCUCUUAAUUUAAAGGUUACUUUCAUGAAAGAUAUUUAUACUAUUAAAAGACAGUAUUUGGGUACUAUUUAUUGAAAAAUGCCUCAAAUUCCUAAUCUGUAUAAAUUCUUUUUAUAAAGAAUAUCAUACAAAAUAUUUCGAAAAUUGAUAUGUAAUUAUAAUGUUAGAUUUUUUUUAUAAAAUAAGAAACGUUAUUAAAAAUAUCUUAUAAAUAUUCCAUCUCAGAAAAAAGUUAUGACUAUCAGAACAAGUUCAUCUAAUUUUUAUGAUAUGAUGGAAUGAUUAUCUUUUAUUUGUUGAUGUAGGUAUAGUUUGUUGAACUAUGUUAAAACUUCAUAUACCUUUGUAUAUUUUUUUAUCUUUACAUUUUUGAACUAACAUUGUUUGCAUUACAAUUUUUACUAAUACAACAAACUAACAUCAUAACUCAUAUUGAAGAUUUCUAGAAGAGUUAAAAGACAACAUAACACAUAAAAUGAUGACAAAAGAAAUUUUAGAAAAUUUUAGUUUAAGGUGGAGUUUUUCUUUCAUUGGGAUGUGACACUAUGUAUCAUAUAAAGAGACGAAUUAUUGAAUUAAUGAAAUUUCAUUCAAUGUGGAAAUUAUUGGAUAUUGUCUUAAAUUGCUCAUUAGUAUAGAAUCAAUUUUUAAAGAAUAAUAUAUAAAAUAUUUGUUUUUGUAAUAUUUGGAUUUUCUUAUAAAAUAAAAAAAGUUAUUAAAAAUAUUUUCAUAAAUAUUUUAGCUCUAGGAAAUGUUAUAAGAUAUAGAUGAAGACUAAUAUGUGGUGAAUAGCCAUAUAAUAAAGAAUGGGUGGGAAUCAAUAGUCAUGUCUAGUUUUUGACCUCUAAUAUUUUCUAUGAUAUAAUGAUUAAAAUUGUAAACUGUUUUAUUUUUAUAAAGCUUUCGCUAGCAUAACACUACUUCUGACCUAAAAAAUGUAGAAAAUUCUAAUUAUUUAUAUUUAAACAUAAUAAGUUAGGAUUUUAUAAACUCAAAUGGCUCUUUUAUGUAUAUCUUUUUUCAAAAUUAUAUCAAAACAUGCUUGAACAGUUUUAAGUGCUUGGAAUUAUCAAAGAUGUGAGGGAUCAAUUGUAAUGAGUUAUUUAAAUGAUAUAUUAUGAAUUCAAAAAAAAAAAAACUUUAGGAGUCAAGAUACCUAAAACUUAGCUAAAGGGGACUGGUAGAGUAUUUUAUGGAAGCAAGAUUCUCAAGCCUCAUACUCUUUUUUAAAAAAUGAAAAUAUCUUCUCUUUUAUUUCUCCUUAUAAUCUUUGGAAAAGAAAACCCCUCCAUAUUCCUCUUUAAUGUUGUGGAAAAGAAACUAAAAUAAGUAAGCAUAUGACAAUGUUUAUACUUCAAAUAUUUUUAAUAUAAAUAUUUUUUCUACUAAUAUUUUUAGGAAAAUCAUUUAUCAUUUAUUAAAUGUUUUCUUAAAAAGUGCUAACUAUAAGUUAAUUUUUCAUAGCUGGAGCAUGAGAUGGCAGCUAAAGUGACAGGCAUGCUUCUGGAGAUGGACCAGACUGAGGUUUUGCAUCUGCUCGAGUCGCCAGAGGCUUUGAAGUCCAAGGUUGCGGAGGCCAUGGACGUCCUGAGGAAUGUUGCUCAGCAGCAGGCUAACAGCCCAACCGAACAACUAGCCUCACUGUCCCUAAAUGACAGCCUUGUUCCCUGAGUGUGUUGGGUGGAACUUAAAUGUGGUUCCAGCAGUUUAAAUUAAGUUUCUCUGCUAGUGAAGGCUCUAGAUUUCAUUUGAUAUGGAGUUACAUUAGCCAUAGGAUUCUGAAGUUUGAAACAUAUUGUGUGUGUUGGUUUUUGGUGAUGAAGUUUAGGAUGCUAUACAUUCUAUGUUCUGGUGUUGACGAUCGAGUGUUCGAUUGAGUUGCUUGCAUCAUGGUUCAAAGUCGCGGUAUCGGUCAUUGACUCGGAGGGUCCCGAGGCAUAUCGGUCUCGGUGUAUCGGUUUGGUAUCGGACGAUACGUAAAAUAAGCUAAUUAGAAAAUUCAAAAAAUUAUAAAAAUAUUAUGUAAAUCAUCAGAAAAAUAUAUACAAUUAAAUAAAUUAAUAAAAUAAAAUUGUAUUAUAUUUAACAUUAUUUAAAUAGUUAUAAAAGUAUUUGCUCAAAGUUAUUUAUAAUAAUACUAAUAAAAAUAAAUAUAUCGGUCUCGAAAUCAACUUGAAGUCAACUAUAAUCAAUAUGAUCUUUAGAGGUAAGAUCUACAGACGGGGUGCAUAAAUAAAUUUUUUUUUUAUCAAUUUAGACUAAUACAUCAACAUAAUUAUUAUUUUAAGCAAUUACUUAAAUUAUUAACCUCCUUCUGAGGUAAUAUUAAUACAUUAUUUCUUUAAACAAAUUUUAAUUUAAUUUUUUUAUAUAUAAUUAAUUUUAAUUAUAUUUGAUUUUUUUUUAUAUAUAUUUUUAUAAAAAAUCAUGCAUGAAAAUUUUAUUUUUCUUAAUAUAUUUUUGAAGAAAUCAUUUUUUUUCCAUAAGCUUAAAACACCAAAUUUUUAUUUUUUUAUUUUUUUAUACAGAAAUACAUGGACCACAGGCUUUUAUGAAUUGAACUUGGGCUGGGCCUAAUCUGGUGGGCUGAACCCGUAAAAAUAUGUCAUGGUGCUGAGCCACAUAGGAUCAAAACCUAUCUUCUCCUAUCUUCCCUCCACUGAAAGCAGAGAGUGCGAUCUGCAGAGAGUGUGAUCUGUAGAGAGUGAAACCGCCAUGGCCAUCUCUCUCUUCUCCUAUCUUGCCCUCCACCGUGGACGCUCACGACGUUGGUUCUGCCGGUGGUGCCAUCAAAUCCUAUUUUCUUCACUGCACAAAGCUCUUCUCUGCUCCCAAACUCGGAAUGAAGGUUGUUUAGCCGGCGUUCAGUCACCGUUGCGGCACCAGCAGCGCACCAAAGAUGAAAAAUCUUCACUCCUGAUGUCUCUAAAAAUGUUGAUUCUUGUUGUGAUGGGUUUCAGAAUCUGUUAGAUUUUUUUUUUUUCCGAGUCGACCGAGUUAACUCGGGAUAUCGGUCGAGUCAUCCGAGUCCAACCGAUUCAAAGCCGAGUUUAGGUAUAAAUUGUAUCUGGUAUCGGACUCGUCGCGGUCGGCGUCGAGGCGGAUACGACUCGGCCGAGUCGUACCGGACUCGACCGAUAUUUUGAACCCUGGCUUGCAUAUUCCAAACCACAGAAUUCUGACGUUAAAUAGAUACUAUGUUUGAUUUUGUGAUUAAAUUUUGGACUUAGACAUUGCUAUAGUUUUGGUGUUGAUCAUGGCAUUUUCUACGGAGUUUCUUGCACUAUUUCAAGUAUCAUGUCUUUCUCUUGCUUACAUGUGCUUGACUCUAGCCUUAAUCUAAAAUAUUUCUUACCAAUUCAUACGAUGUGCCUCACCUAACUGAUUUUGUAUAUCUUCUCUUCUCAUUUGCUCUGCGUCUGCUUUCUUUAGCUGAUUUGAUACGACCGUCCUGAGUUGCACCCUCAGAAGUCAAAAGCAUGGUGGCUGAGAGAUAAUAAAUUUUGAGAGCAUUGAUGGACCAUGUGAAUUGAAGGGGACCCAAGCCUCAGGGGUCUUGCUGCAUAAGUCGAAGUGCAAUAGGAUGCUACGAAUCCUUAAAACUAGAUGUUUUCUUUUUGGUGUGUUCCUAUUUCGUUUGGUAUUGGGGAUGAUUAACUCAGGGCCCAUAUUUCACAAAUUAAAAUAGAAUUUGUUUUAAUAGUUUAUUUUAGGAAGAGCACCCUUUAAAUUAGAACAGUGUGCUCGCUUGUAUCAUGGACCUAGUUGUAUUUCUUCCUCACGGUAUUAACGACUGCACACAUUAAUCGCUCUCACGUUGAUGAUAGGCCAUGUGCCCCGUUAUCAAUCCACAAGACAAGUUCAAACAUAUUCAAUUUCCAUUUCCAUGAUCCUAAUUGGAAUAUUUCGCAGCAGGUGGCCUAAGAGGCCUAGUGUGAAAGUUGUAAAAAAAAAGGACGAAGUAUCCUAAUGGACUACAAUGAUCAGGAUAGAAAAUCCUCAUUUAGCUUUAGGCCGACGUGGCCCCCAACGGCACCACGUUUUCAAAGCAUUACAAGAAACGUACAACCUUCAAAAUCUUUCACCUAGAUUUUAAACGACGGCUACAUUUCAUCUUCAGAAACCCAAGUUUGAAUUUUCAUUCAGUUCAAUAUUCCACUAGGUUAACAUAAUCAGAAUCCUUAAAAGAAGAGCCAAUGUCGAGGUUAUUACUAAGCAAGCAGGUUCUUCGUUUAAGUCUAUUUAAUUUAUUUCCCCCAUAUGCAAGCGCCCGAGUAUAGAAAAGGCUUUGAGCAAUUACGUGUACGUUUAAUUCAGUAUUGUAACCACAAGCACCCACCCGGCAAUGGUUCAAUUCAGUUCUGUAACCACCAGCUCCCACCAACUUUCGGUGGACUCUUCAAAGGAAGCGGCGUGAAGAAAGUUGAGAAAUUUCUCACGCAAUUCGGUUUAUUUAUUUAUUUUUCUGUUGUCACGGUGCACCGUUGAAUUGAAUCAUACAGCAAUUCAUUAAGUGGGUGACGUCAUGCUUGACAUCCAUCCUCCAGUUUUGGCUCAUCCUCCAAACACCUUUUAAAAGAAUGGGUCCAUCUAUGGCCUUUGAGUUAGGGUUGAAUUGCCAGCCCUAAUUUUUGGAAAACGGGUUUAGAAUCAUAAUAGUUAUUAUUAUUACAAUCUAAUCUCACAUCAUUCUUUUCAUAUUUUGACUGGAUCUAGUCUUUUCCAGGCAACUGGGAGGACAAUCAUUUAAAGAAUUGAGAUGCUCAUCUGCAGCUUUAUAAAUCACAGCAGCCCAUUAAGAAUGGUAGGGAGAAGCUGAAGAUAAGCUAUUGGCUUCCCUGAACAGAGGAGACUCCUCGGUGGUCUAAUGGCAACUCGACUGUCGGCUCAUNNNNNNNNNNNNNNNNNNNNNNNNNNNNNNNNNNNNNNNNNNNNNNNNNNNNNNNNNNNNNNNNNNNNNNNNNNNNNNNNNNNNNNNNNNNNNNNNNNNNNNNNNNNNNNNNNNNNNNNNNNNNNNNNNNNNNNNNNNNNNNNNNNNNNNNNNNNNNNNNNNNNNNNNNNNNNNNNNNNNNNNNNNNNNNNNNNNNNNNNNNNNNNNNNNNNNNNNNNNNNNNNNNNNNNNNNNNNNNNNNNNNNNNNNNNNNNNNNNNNNNNNNNNNNNNNNNNNNNNNNNNNNNNNNNNNNNNNNNNNNNNNNNNNNNNNNNNNNNNNNNNNNNNNNNNNNNNNNNNNNNNNNNNNNNNNNNNNNNNNNNNNNNNNNNNNNNNNNNNNNNNNNNNNNNNNNNNNNNNNNNNNNNNNNNNNNNNNNNNNNNNNNNNNNNNNNNNNNNNNNNNNNNNNNNNNNNNNNNNNNNNNNNNNNNNNNNNNNNNNNNNNNNNNNNNNNNNNNNNNNNNNNNNNNNNNNNNNNNNNNNNNNNNNNNNNNNNNNNNNNNNNNNNNNNNNNNNNNNNNNNNNNNNNNNNNNNNNNNNNNNNNNNNNNNNNNNNNNNNNNNNNNNNNNNNNNNNNNNNNNNNNNNNNNNNNNNNNNNNNNNNNNNNNNNNNNNNNNNNNNNNNNNNNNNNNNNNNNNNNNNNNNNNNNNNNNNNNNNNNNNNNNNNNNNNNNNNNNNNNNNNNNNNNNNNNNNNNNNNNNNNNNNNNNNNNNNNNNNNNNNNNNNNNNNNNNNNNNNNNNNNNNNNNNNNNNNNNNNNNNNNNNNNNNNNNNNNNNNNNNNNNNNNNNNNNNNNNNNNNNNNNNNNNNNNNNNNNNNNNNNNNNNNNNNNNNNNNNNNNNNNNNNNNNNNNNNNNNNNNNNNNNNNNNNNNNNNNNNNNNNNNNNNNNNNNNNNNNNNNNNNNNNNNNNNNNNNNNNNNNNNNNNNNNNNNNNNNNNNNNNNNNNNNNNNNNNNNNNNNNNNNNNNNNNNNNNNNNNNNNNNNNNNNNNNNNNNNNNNNNNNNNNNNNNNNNNNNNNNNNNNNNNNNNNNNNNNNNNNNNNNNNNNNNNNNNNNNNNNNNNNNNNNNNNNNNNNNNNNNNNNNNNNNNNNNNNNNNNNNNNNNNNNNNNNNNNGAUGCCAGCCACUCUAAUAAUUGAGCAAUGAACUCCAGUUUCCAGCUGCAGAUUUCAGUACUCCAUAUUUAACUAGCAAGAAUAUUAUUGAUUGAUUUAAGCUUUCCCUCCUGCAAAAUUAGCAUACAACAGAUACGCGGUGAAGAGCUGUUAACAGCUUCAUCACACCCCAAGAGUCAAAGGCCAUGAGAACCCAAUUUUUUGGACUUUAUUUGCUAGUUCUCAUCAACCAUAGGCUAUAGCACCAUGAGGGACUUUAUUUGGAAUUUGGUAGUAGGAGCAAAAUUCAAACGGAGAAAAAAAAUAAUCAGAUUAUAGAAUGAAAUUGACUACUUACAUCAUCAACAUUGAGAGGCUCCUUGAGAUGUCACACCAUCUGCAGAGUGGUUUAACAAACAGAAUCCUAGCUUUCUCAUUUUGGUGGUCUGUGAAGUACCUAGCUCCCGUUAUAACAGUCCAGGUAACAUAUCACUAAACUCAUGCUUUUAUGUGGAAAAAACUAUUAAAUAAGUUAGUAGUACUUGCAUCCAAAAAUAUAAAGACCUGAGAUCAGACCUUGGGAGUUGUAACCUCAUUAAACUGCACAUGCGCCUAUGGGAAAGAAAUGUUACCAUCCAAUAAAGAAGAAUACCCUGAUUUCAUAUAUACUGGAAUAGUUAACUGGGUGAAUACCCUAACUACAUAUGUACUGGAAUAUUUAAUAGGGUGAAUACUCUAACUACAUAUGUACUGAAAUAUUUAACAAGGUGAAUACCCUAAUUUAUAUAUACACUGGAAUCUCCUGAUUAAAAACAAUGAGUAGAAAAAUAAUAGCGGAAGCAUACCUGAAUCCAUUGAAGGAGAAACCUUAUAGAAAAAAAAAAACCCUUUGAGAUGGUCUUCCAAUUCUAGCCACUAGAUUCUGUGUCAAUUUCUCUCUGAGAGGAUUUUCAGAAAUUGGAAUGCGUAGUCGUAGAAUGGGGACCAUAACCCUAUUUAUAAACUGCUAGGGCAGUUUUAACUUUAUCACAAUUAUAUUUCUGCCCCUCAUAGAAAUAAUAAUUGUCUAAUGGUAUCUACACAAUAAUCUCAUGACAAUUAUACCCUUAAGCCAAUUAAUUAAUUAUUAAUUAGAUCACUAUAUUUAGGCUUAAUUAAAUGAUAGCACACACAUUUUAAUUAUUUGCAUGUGUGGCCCAAAUUAUAGAUUAAUUACAAAAAUUAAUCUAACAAUCUCCCACUGGGCCACAUGCAUAUGUAAUCAAAUAAAUGUGCUUAACCUUAUGAGCUCAAUUUGCUAUCAUGUCCUUAGGGUAUAUCCGAACAAUCUCGUCCAUUAACUAUACUGACAUAGGAUCAAGGUGGUCUAUGUUACAUCAAUCGUUACUAGACCAAUCAAUGGUCACAUAUAUCUGCAUAGCUAAAUGACAUAGAUCAAUCAUGAGUGCAUAGCAUGGAAAUUACAUGCAAUGUGAUCUAUUCAUGCCUAUUUCCAACUGGUCCUACUUAACUUUAUUGAGAUAAAAUCUUUAGCAUAAUUUAACAGAGUGCAAUGAAAUGAAUACUUUAUUUCUGCAGAACACAAUCCAAAUGUAUAGAUAAAGUCUAAACAUAACAUAGAGCAAUAUACAAUGAAUAAUAUAAACUCCCACUAAAUUUGGAUAUCCUCAAAUGAGACAACACCCAUAUGAGCAGUGUGCUCAUGAAAGACCUUGGGUGGUAAUCCCUUUGUAAGCGGAUCCGCUAUCAUGGAGUUUGUUCCAAUAUGCUCUAUGGAUAUCUGUCCACUCUGUACUUUUUCUUUUACAACUAGGAACUUGAUAUCAAUGUAUUUUGAUUUUGUAGAGCUCCUGUUGUUAUUGGAAUAUAAAACUGCUGAUUUAUUGUCACAAAAUAUCUUCAAUGGUCUUUCAAUACCAUCCAGAACGCGCAGCCCAGUGACAAAAUUUCGUAGCCAUAUUCCUUGAUUGGAUGCCUCAUAACAUGCUACAAACUCUGCUUCCAUGGUGGAUGAAGUUACGAGUGUCUGUUUGGCAGACCUCCAUGAAAUUGCUCCACCAGCCAACAGAUAAAUAUAGCCUGAUGUGGAUCUUCUGCUGUCUUGGCAUCCAGCAAAGUCGGAGUCGGAAUACCCAAUCAACUCUAAUUGAUCCAAUCUCCUAUAUGUAAGCAUGUACUCUUUUGUUCUCUGUAAAUAUCUCAUAACCCUCUUGGCUGCUCUCCAAUGAUCCAUUCCAGGGUUACUUAGAUAUCUGCCUAACAUGCCAACAAUGUACGCAAUAUCCGGACGUGUACAUACUUGAGCAUACAUUAGACUCCCCACAGCCGAAGCGUAAGGAAUCUUUUGCAUUUCUUGACUUUCUAAAUUAUUUUUAGGGCAUUGAUUAAGACUGAAUUUGUCUCCUUUAGCGACAGGGGUAUCACCUGGUUUGCUAUUUUGCAUGCCAUACCUUUGGAGGACUUUAUCAAUAUAGGUCCUUUGUGACAAUCCUAAAAUACCCCUAGAACGAUCUCGGUGUAUCUGGAUUCCUAAGACAAAAGAGGCAUCACCAAGAUCUUUCAUCUCAAAAUGUUUUGAUAAAAAUCUCUUGGUGUCGUGCAAUAUGCCAAUAUCAUUUGUGGCUAGCAAUAUGUCAUCGACAUAUAAAACCAGGAAAAUAUACUUACUCCCACUGAAUUUGUGAUACACACAUUCAUCCAUAAGAUUUGCCUCAAAACCAUAUGAGACAAUAAUUUGAUGAAACUUGAAGUACCACUGACGAGAAGCUUGCUUGAGCCCAUAAAUGGAUUUAGUUAAUUUACAAACCAUAUUCUUUGAGUCUUCGGACACAAAAUUUUCUGGUUGUACCAUAUAAAUUGUUUCAUCAAUGUCACCAUUGAGAAACGCUGUUUUAACAUCCAUUUGAUGUAACUCAAGAUCAUAAUGUGCAACUAGUGCCAUGAUUAUCCUGAAAGAGUCCUUCGUAGAAACUGGAGAGAAGGUCUCUUUGAAGUCAAUUCCUUCUUUUUGAGUAAAGCCUUUAGCUACAAGACGUGCUUUAUAUAUUUCUACAUUACCAUUUGAAUCCCGCUUGGUUUUAAAUAUCCAUUUACAACCAAUGGGUUUCGUACCAACUGGUAAUGGGACAAGUUCCCAAACUUUAUUGUCUUGCAUAGAUUUGUACUCUUCAUUCAUGGCUUCAAUCCAUUUAUGAGAGUUGGAACUUUUCACGGCUUGCUGGAAGUUGAUUGGAUCAUCUUCCAUCAUUCCACUUUCUACCUCACGUUCCUGGAGAUAUACGAUAUAAUCGUCCGAAAUUGCAUUUCUCCUCUCUCUAGUGGAUCUCCUUAAUGGCAUAUUUUCUUGAGGUUGUUGAGUUUGUUCUUCAGAAGUAAUGUCCUCAUUUGCAAUUAAGGGUUGAACAAUAUUGUAUGUUGGUUGAGGAUCCAAAUUUACUUCUUGAUCAAUGAUAGGUAGUGAAACCUGUACAUUAUCAAUAGCAAUAGUAGAUCCCUCUUCCUCCUCAAAGACAAUAUUCCUAGCCUGAUUUCUCCCCCCAAACUCAACAUCCUAAAAAAAUGUUGCAGUUCCCGUCUCAAAAAUUGACCUAAUAGCAGGAUCAUAAAAUUUAAAACCCCUUGAUCGCUCUGCAUAGCCAAUAAAGUAGCUGCUAACUGUUUUAGAGUCCAAUUUCUUUUCAUGAGGCUUAUAAGGUCUCGCUUCAGCUGGACAUCCCCAAAUAUGAAAAUGCUUUAAACUGGGCUUUCGACCCGUCCAAAGCUCAUAAGGCGUUUUAGCAGCUGCUUUAGUUGGCACCCGAUUUAGGAUAUAAGCUGUCGUUUUGAGUGCUUCACCCCAGAGUUUUUCGGGUAAAGUAGAAUGACUAAUCAUACUCCUUACCAUGUCCUUAAGGGUUCGGUUUCGUCUUUCUGCUACACCAUUCAUGCUAGGUGAUCCUGGCAUGGUGUAUUGAGGGACGAUCCCACAUUCCUCUAGGUAUUUAGCAAAUGGUCCUGGACGUUGUUCACCUGAUCCGUCAUAUCUACCAUAGUAUUCACCACCACGGUCAGAUCUGACACUCUUUAUUCUUUUGUUGAGUUGCAACUCAACUUCUGCUUUAAAUGUUUUGAACACGUCCAAUGAUUGUGAUUUCUCAUGUAUAAGAAAUAGGUAGCCAUAUCUUGAAUAGUCGUCUAUGAAUGUUAUAAAGUACUGUUGACCAUUCCAAGAUGCCGUAGGGUAUGGUCCACAAAUAUCUGUAUGAAUUAAUUCUAAGACGUCUGUAGCUCUAUUGGCACCCAAUUUCUUUGUUUUGGUCUGUUUUCCUUUAAUACACUCAACACAAAUAUCAAAAUCUGAAAAGUCAAGUGAAUCCAAAAUCCCAUCGGACACAAGUCGCUCAACUCUGGAUUUAGAGAUAUGACCUAAGCGUUUGUGCCACAAUGAGGCCGAAUUAUCUUUAUUCAAUUUACGUUUUGUACCUCGUGAUUCCACAUGCAAGGUUUCAUUAUAGGACGGAACAGUUUCCAACAAAUAUAGAUUAUCAUAAACAUUAAGCAAACCGGUUCCUACAGCAUUUGAAUUAAUAGAUAAUGUAAAUUUAUUGUUUCCAAAUGAACAACAAUAACCUGAUUUGUCCAAAACAGAAACUGAAAUUAAAUUCCGUCUGAAAGACGGUACAAUAAAAGUAUCUAUUAAAUCCAAAAAAUAACCAGAUUUCAAUAAUAAUCUAAAGUGCCCUAUUGCCUCUACUUCUACCGACUGACCGUCUCCGACAUAGAUGCAUCUUUCAGCAUCACUUGGUUUUCGGUAACUCAGGCAACCCUGCAUAGAAACACAAAUGUGAGUAGUAGCACCAGAAUCUAACCACCAUGUGUUUCUAGAUACUGAAGCUAAAUUAACUUCAGAACAGACCAAAGUAAGAAACAUACCUUUCUUAACACGCCAAGCAGCAUACUUGGUACAUUUUUUCUUAGUAUGUCCAGGCUUAUUACAGAAAAAACAUGUUACCUCAACUUUCUGUUUCUUUUGUUCUGGACCAUUGGAAGCAGCAACCUUAUUAUCCUUAUUCUUUCGUUUGCCCUUAUCCUUCGAAGUGCUAGCCAGAUGAGCACUUUCGGUCUUGUCUUGCUUCAAUCUCUCUUCCUCUUGCACACAGAAUGAAAUGAGCUCAUUAAGAGUCCAUUUAUCCUUUUGACAGUUAUAACUGACCUUGAAUUGAUUAAAUUGUGCAGGAAGAGAGAUGAGAACCAAAUGCACGAGUAAAUCAUCAGAUAACUCGAGUUUCAAAGCCUUAAGUUUUGAAGCAAGAUGAGACAUCUCCAUGAUGUACUCCCGAACAUUACCCUUGCCUUUAUACUUCAUUGAAAUCAAGCGUGCUCGUUUCAGCCUUAUCGUUUUUGGCAAAACGCUUCUGAAUUUCCGCAAGGAAGUCACUGGCAUUAGUAACCUCAUCGGUUACCGCACCCCUGAAAGCUUCUGGAAUGCCGCGCUUCAUGAUCAUAAGACUUAGCCUAUUUGAACGUUCCCACUUACCCCAAUAAACAUCAUCCUCUUGAGUACUUUGCUCAUUGAGUUCAUCGGGUUUGGGCAUUCUCAAGGCUAAGUCUAUAUCCAUGCAGCCUAAGAGAAUCAUCAUAUUCUCUUUCCAGUCCUUAAAAUUAGUCCCAUUUAACAUAGGGACAUUAUUGAUGUUGGCAGAUAUAGAAGUGGUUGAUAUAAAAGCUGAAUCCAGAACAAAAUAAAAUGAAUCAAAUAAACCAUCAUGCUCACAUAAAAUAAGCAAUUAAACACAUAAUCUUUAAAUUUAAAAGCAAUUAUGACAUUUCAAGAUACCUAGCACAACAUUAAUAUCAAGUCUUUGGACAGUAAUAUUAACUGUAAGUGGUACUCUUGUUGUAGUGAUCAAACAUUGAUGAUAAGUUAUGUCAAAUAAUAAAUCUAUCUUUGGAUUGAUUUAUUAUUCACAUUAAGUUACCUUUAUAAUCAUCACAUAUUUAUCACCAUAGGUAUGUAUGCAAUUUGACCAAAUAUUAACUUUCCUUUGGGCCAGUUAAUACCCGCAUGAAUCACAUACACACAAAUAUCUAACACCCCGAACAGACUAAUCUACACGAAAGAUGUCACUUUGGUGAUUUUCCGCUUUAAUUAGCCUAUUUAAAAAUGCUAGAUCAAUAACUUAAAUAUUAAUAUCAUAAAAUGCUAUUAAAUAACAAUAAUAAUAAUAAUAAUAAUAAUAGUAAUAAUAAUAAUAAUAAAAAAAAUUUAUCAACUCAAUAUUUCAUAAAUCUUAAUCCAUUGACAUAUAUAUAUUAAAAUAAUAACUCAAAGAAUUAAUCAAGGAGUAGGCUCUGAUACCACUUGUUACCAUCCAAUAAAGAAGAAUACCCUGAUUUCAUAUAUUAAUCAAGGAGUAGGCUCUGAUACCACUUGUUACCAUCCAAUAAAGAAGAAUACCCUGAUUUCAUAUAUACUGGAAUAGUUAACUGGGUGAAUACCCUAACUACAUAUGUACUGGAAUAUUUAAUAGGGUGAAUACCCUAACUACAUAUGUACUGGAAUAUUUAACAGGGUGAAUACCCUAACUACAUAUGUACUGAAAUAUUUAACAAGGUGAAUACCCUAAUUUAUAUAUACACUGGAAUCUCUUGAUUAAAAACAAUGAGUAGAAAAAUAAUAGCGGAAGCAUACCUGAAUCCAUUGAAGGAGAAACCUUAUAGAAAAAAAAAAAACCCUUUGAGAUGGUCUUCCAAUUCUAGCCACUAGAUUCUGUGUCAAUUUCUCUCUGAGAGGAUUUUCAGAAAUUGGAAUGCGUAGUCGUAGAAUGGGGACCAUAACCCUAUUUAUAAGCUGCUAGGGCAGUUUUAACUUUAUUACAAUUAUAUUUCUGCCCCUCAUAGAAAUAAUAAUUGUCUAAUGGUAUCUACACAAUAAUCUCAUGACAAUUAUACCCUUAAGCCAAUUAAUCAAUUAUUAAUUAGAUCACUAUAUUUAGGCUUAAUUAAAUGAUAGCACACACAUUUUAAUUAUUUGCAUGUGUGGCCCAAAUUAUAGAUUAAUUACAAAAAUUAAUCUAACAAGAAAAAGAGGAAAAUUAAGUUGUUCUUGAUGCCAUCAAUUAACAACAGCAAAUUGAGCAGUGGAAGUCCAUUGGAAAUGGGAGACAAACUACAUUUUGUAUGAAUAACAAUAACAGAAUAAUACAAACCAGCUAAAAGUUGAGCCCCAUCGAUUCUUCAGUGGGAUGAUCAAGGGGGUAUGAAAAAGCAACCAAUGAUCAAUCCUUCAGAAGUUCAAAAAGAUUAGGGACAGAGCAGAGUAGAAACGAAGUCAAACAGGCCUUACUAAAUCCUAGUGCAGGAAAGCUAAGCAUUCCCCUUGAAUGGUCCUAAAAUUUACAUGUCAUGCAAAAGUGAGGAGCACAGAUAACUUUCUAAAUUUAAAUCUAACAAGAAACUGAAUAUCAGCCCGCUAGCAUGGACAAAAAGUCAAUAAUCUCAGACUAAAAGAGGAGAAAAUAAUUUUUCAGGACAGUAGUUAUUUCAAGAGGCUGAGAAGUUUCCCCGAAACCUCUUUGUAUGCCCACGCACUGAUAGCUAUCCAAUUUUGUCCUAUUUAUUGCAUAUAAACUGCAUCCCCUUGACGGCUGAAAUGUCGAAACUGCAAGAAAUCAUUAAGGAAAUAAAAUAAAUACAAUAAAGGGAAAAGCUACUUCAAUGUUGAAGAAUUUCUGUGUGAGAAACCUACAGGACAUUAGCGAUAAUUACAAUGCAAUUUGGCAUUGUUAUAUGAGGGCCCAAGAAAGACAACCAGAAAAAGCCUCAUGAUGUUUAGCAGCUGAUAUUCAACCAUGAAGAUCCUUUCAAAGGCCCAAGAAAGGCAACCAGAAAAACCUUCAUGAUGUUAGCAGCUGAUAUUCAAUCAUGAAGAUCCUUUCAAAUCUGUGUACCCCUCAGAGCUUAGCUUCAGCCAUUUGUUCCAUGAGGGCCUUUUUGAGGAAAGGGAUCGCUCUUAAAACAUUGAAUGAAGUAUGGCCACAAGUUAGAGCCUAACUUAGAUUCUUCAAAGCAAUCUCAUAUACAUUCCAAAGCUUUUACUAAGCUUUCCUCGUUUAAAUGGUAUCACAGCCACUCCCCAGUGGAACUGUUAGCAGGCUUAAACCCUUUUCCCUCUAUAACUCCUUCCCAACUAAAGCAUUUCCAGAUUCACAUUCUUAUUAAUUUCCACAAUUAUUAACUGUCUCCAUUGAUCUUCAAGAACAUGUAGCAAUCAACUGAGUAAUUCGCAACCCUUAGAGCAUCAUAUACAUUACGAGCCUAAAUCCUGACAACUGAACCUUUCAGAAAAAUUGGUAGUUUAGCAUUGUAUUAGAACAAAGAUUAACUUGAGGUCUCAGGUUAAAGUCCUUUAAAUUUAUGAUUUGUCUAUAGCUACUGCUGCUUGUGACAUCCAUGUGCCAAUAUAGGGCCACACCUUUCAACACACCUGGGGUUAUCUGCAACUACCACUAUCUGUGCCACCCGCAUCUGGGUGUGUGGGGCCACACCCAGUGCGUGGGGGACUUAUCUACAACUACUUGUCACAAGAUGCUUCAAAUGACCCUCCUCAUGGGCUUAUAUAGGAGGUGAGAAGCUUCUAGAGACCCUUGGAGACAUCUACAUACAAAGUGGAAGAGUAUAGAAACUUCUAGAGCAGGCUAAAAAUGUCCACACAUCUCUACACUUGGCUAGGAGAGCAUUGGAAUAGUGUGGGGUGUUAUAGAAUCUUCCAAAGUCAUCUUGUACAUAUCCUUGUACAUAGAUUACUGUAGGAGCUUCUAGUUUAUUCUUGAUUUGUAAGGAACCUUUUAAGAUUCUAGAAACUUCCUAAAGUGUCUAUAAAUAAGUUAAGGCCUCAUUUGGUCAAGGCACCACCCAAACCACUUCCUAAUCAAGCAAGUGAGUUUCAAAGCACUUGUAAAGUUUCCUUUGAGCAAUAAAAACUUCAAUUCUUCAAGAGUUGCCUACUAAACCUUUUAAAGCUUUCAAGUCAUAAGCAUCUUAGCCUAACAAGUUAAGCAUCAGGAGUAAAGUUGACUUAAUAAGAUCAAGUGUCUUGACUAAGUGCCGCACAAGCUUAGGAAAAGACUAAGUUCGUGACAUACUGCUGCAUAUGCCACCCACAUGGAGGGGGUGUCCUCCAUUUCCAUUGUUCUUCAAGGGUGCAUAAUAGUCCAAUCAAAUAUAUAGAGCCAUAUUUUCUAACGGCUUACAUAUAACCAAAUAUUUACACUAACAUUUCUUAAACUUCAAUGAGGAACACCAAAAUCUUACUGUUGAAAAAUAUGACUCAAACGCCUUUGCCAUAUUAUCCCGCAUAAUUCAAAUGUAUAUCCACAUGUUAGAAUAAAGCAUUGAAAACUUAGCAAGAUAAAAUUGCACUUCUUAACUGGGUAACAAUUCUAGAAAGGAACAUCACAACCUUAACUUUAAACCGCUGCAGCAGCAACGAGAAAAUUCUUCACUUUAAUAACCAAAUUCUUAAACACAAAAAUUGUAACAAGGGUACUUGAUGAAUGAGCACAUCUCAGAGCAUCAAUUGCUUAACCGUGCUGCAAUCCCAUCAAAGAAGCGAAUGAUCCAAUGGCUGAUUGAUGCUAUGAACCAGGUGUAUGAUAAAAUGCUUGAAAGACUCUCAAAUGAAGGUCCACAAGAAACCAUACAAUGAAAGAACUAUCCAGUGAGCAAGCAAGAAAAUCACGUCCUCUCUCGAUUAAAUUUCUCAUUUGGCCGAAUUUACAAAGAUUUAAAGAUGAAAACAAAGGAUAGUCAUCUAAAUACGAUCUUCAGUGCUUGGAAUUAUCAAAAUUACAAAACAUGAAACAAAAUAAUCAUGAGUGUACCGAGGGACCAAGAAAUUCUCUAGGGCUACAACGUAACUGAAUUAAACCCAAUACGGCCUAAUUUUGGACGGGUUUGAGCAACACACCGCCUCAAACGGCGGAAAAAAAGUGUUAUUUGGGCCGGCCUCCACCCUCGGGUUGAGGCCUCAAGCAACCUGGACGGCUGGACCUGAUAUUUUGUUUUCUAUAAAAUUGAAAAUUAAUUAUUAUAACAUAUACUUAUGUUAUAAAAUUCAGUAAUGUAUCAUCCUUAUUUAAUUUUUUUAUUUUUUUAUUUUUCUGUUGUCAUGAUGCACCGUUGAAUUGAAUCAUGGACACCGCUGGACAAGCAUAUGACGACUGUAAUAAUUUUACCUCGAGAUUUUUUUUGACAAGUGGCUUUCGAGGUAGGGGCAACUACCAAGCGAAUUUAGAAUGCGGAUACAAGUUGGCCUUUCAAUAUUGAAUUAUGCAGAUGAUGGGUGAUGCUUCCGGGGUCACGUUGGUAAAAAAAACACAAGAAAUGAGCAACCCUACGAUACUUCCUUUACCGCAAAACAAUUAAGCUUAUGUUGCGACUUGUGACUUCUUAGCAGUCAAAACACUGUUCAUAUUUUGACUACAACCGCGGAAAAGGUCAAAAUGAUAUUUCAAGGACAAUAAUUAAAAGAAUUGACCUGCCCCUCAGUCCCUCCUUCCGCUUGUCUGGACUCUGGAGGUCCAUAACACAAGCACGCUGUUUACCACAUGAACAUGAAAUCAGUUGCUGCUUGGCCAUCAAUAACAGAACAAGAUUGGACCCGCCCUUGCCGGUGAACUACUUCGGGAACUCCAUUCAUACAGCCAAUGCCCAUUUCAACUUUGGCUUCAGCUCUUGCAAAUGCAACACCUGAUCAGCAAAGAACAGUAUGCCCAUUACCCUAAUUAUUGAUGAUACCUUAGUUUGCAUUGUAUUAGUAGCCUUUUACGUAAUUUUCUUUUUCUUCUGCUCUCAUUAUUGUCGAUACCUUAGUUUGCAUUGUAUUAGGAGCCUAAUUUCUUUUCUUUUAUUUUAUUUUUUAUGGUGCUCAUGUUGUUUCCGUUUUUAUUUUUAUGGUGGCUAGAUGCUGAGCGAAAGUUUGUACCCUCUCGUGGAUCAGCUGGAGCAUGAGAUGGCAGCCAAACUGACAGGCAUGCUUCUGGAGAUGGGACAGACUGAGUUUUUGCAUCUGCUCGAGUCGCCAGAGGCUUUGAAGUCCAAGGUUGCGGAGGCCAUGGACGUCCUGAGGAAUGUUGCUCAGCAGCAGGCUAACAGCCCAACCGAACAACUAUCCUCACUGUCCCUGAAUGAUAGCCUUGUUCCCUGAGUGUGUUGGGUGGGACUUGAAUGUGGUUCCAGCAGUUUAAAUUAAGUUUCUCUGCUAGUGAAGGCUCUAGAUUUCAUUUGAUAUGGAGUUACAUUAGCCAUAGGAUUCUGAAGUUUGAAACAUAUUGUGUGUGUUGGUUUUUGGUGAUAAAGUUUAGGAUGCUAUAUACAUGUUUUGAUGUUGACAAUAGAGUGUUCUAUUGAGCAAUUUAUUAUGUGGGUAAUGUCAUGCAUGAUAUCCAUCCUCCAAAUACCUUUUAAAAGAAUGGGUCCAUCUAUGGCUGCCAGUCUUUCUUGCAGGGCAACCUUUAAGAAAGGAGAGCCAUAAUUUUUGCAAAACCGAUUCAGAAUAAUAAUAUGGUUAAGUUGUCUUUUCAACAUUUUGAUAUUAUUGUUAUGCAGGUUAUGCUUCUACAUCUAGUUUAAUUCAAUAAAAGGACACCGUGAAAGGGGUAAAACAAAACAAGAAAAAGAGCAUGUCUACAACACAUCCUUACUGCAAGUCUGCAAAGCAAUUAGGGCUGUGUUCUGAGCAGUCAAAACACUGGUUUAUACCUACAGGUUAUUAUUAUUACAACUUAAAUUCACAGCAUUGUUUCAUAUUUUGAUUGGAUCUAGUCUUUAUCAGCAACUGCGGGGAAAAGGGUAAAAUUACAUUACAAGGACAGUCGUUAAAAUAAUUGUCCUGCUCAUAUGCAGCUACAUCAACCAGAGCCACCCAUUAAGAAUGGAAGGGAGAAGCUGAAGAUAAGCUAUUGGCUUCCCUGAACAGAGGAACUCCUCGGUGGUCUAAUGGCAACUCCGACUGUUCGGCUCAUCUCAGAAUGCUUUAUCAAACCAAAGUUCACUUCAGAAGAGACCAACGAGCCCUGUUACCUGACACCAUGGGACCUUGCCAUGCUCUCCGUCAAUUAUAUCCAAAAGGGCCUUCUCUUUAGCAAACCACCUGAUGUGGAUGAUCCACAAAACUUCAUGGCAACUCUCUUGGACAAGCUCAAGGAUUCUCUCGCUCUCACACUCGACCAUUUCUACCCACUUGCAGGCCGCCUUGCAACAAAGAAGGAGGACAGUUCACCCUCUUACGUGGUCUUUG